GCAUGUGGCUUAAUUUGACUCAACGCGGGAAAUCUUACCGGGUCCGGACACACUGAGGAUUGACAGACAAAUAUAGAAAUUUUUCUAUAUAUAAAGAUGCUAGUUCUUUCAUGAUUAUGUGAUAGGUGGUGCAUGGCCGUUCUUAGUUCGUGGAGUGAUCUGUCUGCUUAAUUGCGUUUCAAUUUUUAUUAUGUAUACGUAUGACCCACGUUUACGCGUGCGAGUCUAGUAUGCUAUCAUUUGAAAGCAACGAACGUGACCGUAUCCUUUUAUUAUAUACGCACGCGUAUAUUUAUUCAUUAAAGGGACCGCUGUUUCUUUUUUUAAACCAGAGGAAGGUUACGGCAAUAACAGGUCUGUGAUGCCCUU
This 369-nucleotide ribosomal RNA is filed under the name Elphidium williamsoni. Its description in RNAcentral is "SSU rRNA". It matches the Rfam family "Eukaryotic small subunit ribosomal RNA", at positions 1181 to 1474 of the family's 1831-position model. Lineage: Eukaryota; Foraminifera; Rotaliida; Elphidiidae. The record is from RNAcentral.